CAUUGGGGAUUCCCUUUGAGGUUAAAGGUUUGUGCCUUUUCUACCAAGCGUGUGGUCUUUUUAAGGCUCACACAUUUUACUUUGAAUAAAUUAGGGUGUUUAAAGCAGAUUAAUCGUCUGAAUAUAUUAGCAUGGGAUAAAUGAAUAUGAUCUUGAUCUUAUUUUGUGGUUUCUAAGUUUGAGAUAAUGAUUAAAAGGGACAGUUGGGGUCGCUUGUACUCAGUGGCGAGAGGUGAAAUUCUAUGACCCAUUGAAGACAGACAAAUGCGAAGGCAUUCGACAAGGAUGUUUUCAUUAAUCAAGAACGAAAGUUGUGGGAUCGAAGAUGAUCAGAUACCGUUGUAGUCAUAACUGUAAACUAUGUCGACUCAGGGUUUAGGGACGUAUAUAUUAUGACAUUCUAAGAACUGUUAUGCGAAAGCAAAGUAUCCGGACUCCAGGGGGAGUAUGGUCGCAAGGCUGAAACUUAAAGGAAUUGACGGAAGGGCACCACCAGGAGUGGAACCUGCGGCUUAAUUUGACUCAACACGGGAAAACUUACUCAGUCAGGACACGAUGAGGAUUGACAGAUUGAUAGUUCUUUCUUGAUUUUGUGGUAGCCGGUGCAUGGGCCGUUUUUAGUUGGUGGAGUGAUUUGUCUGGUUAAGUCCGAUAACGAACGAGAUCUUAAUCUAUUAACUAGUGACGGUAACAAGGGAUUUCCUGGGUUUGUGGUGGGAAACCACUGCUUU
This 731-nucleotide ribosomal RNA is filed under the name uncultured eukaryote. RNAcentral's name for it is "bacterial SSU rRNA". It matches the Rfam family "Eukaryotic small subunit ribosomal RNA", at positions 676 to 1413 of the family's 1831-position model. The record is from RNAcentral.